RNAcentral lists this ribosomal RNA (500 nucleotides) under uncultured bacterium. RNAcentral's name for it is "partial 16S ribosomal RNA". It matches the Rfam family "Bacterial small subunit ribosomal RNA", at positions 30 to 523 of the family's 1533-position model. The record is from RNAcentral.
AUUGAACGCUGGCGGCAUGCCUUACACAUGCAAGUCGAACGGCAGCACGGGAGCAAUCCUGGUGGCGAGUGGCGAACGGGUGAGUAAAGUAUCGGAACGUGCCCAGUCGUGGGGGAUAACGUAGCGAAAGUUACGCUAAUACCGCAUACGAUCUAUGGAUGAAAGCGGGGGAUCGCAAGACCUCGCGCGAUUGGAGCGGCCGAUAUCAGAUUAGGUAGUUGGUGGGGUAAAGGCUCACCAAGCCGACGAUCUGUAGCUGGUCUGAGAGGACGACCAGCCACACUGGGACUGAGACACGGCCCAGACUCCUACGGGAGGCAGCAGUGGGGAAUUUUGGACAAUGGGCGCAAGCCUGAUCCAGCCAUGCCGCGUGCAGGAUGAAGGCCUUCGGGUUGUAAACUGCUUUUGUACGGAACGAAAAGGUUUGACUUAAUACGUUGGACUCAUGACGGUACCGUAAGAAUAAGCACCGACUAACUACGUGCCAGCAGCCGCAGUAA